Molecule: ribosomal RNA, 470 nt
Filed under: uncultured bacterium
Lineage: Bacteria
Description: SSU rRNA
Rfam family: Bacterial small subunit ribosomal RNA
Source: RNAcentral
AGGAUGAACGCUGGCGGCGUGCCUAACACAUGCAAGUCGAACGUCCUGUCUCGCAAGAGGCAGGGAGUGGCGGACGGGUGAGUACCACGUGGGUCAUCUACCGUGAGGUGAGGAAUACCGGCGAGAAAUCGCCGACAAGACCGCAUAGCCUCGGUGCAAGUCGAGGAAAGCUCUCUCGAGAGAGGGAGCGCCACACGAGGAGCCUGCGCCCGAUUAGCUAGCUGGUGGAGUAAUGGUUCACCAGGGCGACGAUCGGUAGCUGGUCUGAGAGGACGAUCAGCCACACUGGGAUUGAGAACGGCCCAGACUCCUACGGGGGCAGCAGUGAGGAAUUUUCGUCAAUGGGGCAACCCUGAACGAGCAACGCCGCGUGCAGGAAGAAGGUUUUCGGAUCGUAAACUGCUUUUCUCGGGAAGAGAACGGACGGUACCCGAGGAAUCAGCCCCGGCUAACUACGUGCUAGCAGCCGC